This 73-nucleotide transfer RNA is filed under the name Jaborosa chubutensis. RNAcentral's name for it is "tRNA-Glu". The record is from RNAcentral. Lineage: Eukaryota; Viridiplantae; Streptophyta; Magnoliopsida; Solanales; Solanaceae.
GUAGUACCCUACCCCCAGGGGAAUUCGAAUCCCCGCUGCCUCCUUGAAAGAGAGAUGUCCUAACCCACUAGAC